This 500-nucleotide ribosomal RNA is filed under the name uncultured bacterium. Its description in RNAcentral is "partial 16S ribosomal RNA". It matches the Rfam family "Bacterial small subunit ribosomal RNA", at positions 30 to 523 of the family's 1533-position model. The record is from RNAcentral.
AUUGAACGCUGGCGGCAUGCCUUACACAUGCAAGUCGAACGGCAGCACGGGAGCAAUCCUGGUGGCGAGUGGCGAACGGGUGAGUAAAGUAUCGGAACGUGCCCAGUCGUGGGGGAUAACGUAGCGAAAGUUACGCUAAUACCGCAUACGAUCUAUGGAUGAAAGCGGGGGAUCGCAAGACCUCGCGCGAUUGGAGCGGCCGAUAUCAGAUUAGGUAGUUGGUGGGGUAAAGGCUCACCAAGCCGACGAUCUGUAGCUGGUCUGAGAGGACGACCAGCCACACUGGGAGUGAGACACGGCCCAGACUCCUACGGGAGGCAGGAGUGGGGAAUUUUGGACAAUGGGCGAAAGCCUGAUCCAGCCAUGCCGCGGGCAGGAUGAAGGUCUUCGGGUUGUAAGCUGCUUUUGUACGGAACGAAAAGGUUUGGCCUAAUAAGCUGAGCUCAUGACGGUACCGUAAGAAUAAGCACCGGCUAACUACGUGCCAGCCGCCGCCGUAA